GUCAGCGCGGGGGGCGGGCGGGGGCAGCCUGCAGCCCUUUGCUCGCUGCCUCCAGCCGGCCUAUGCCGCCCUGCAGCCUUUGGGGUUGGUCGUCGCGUUGAUAACGCUUUACAGGGGUUAAAUAAUGUAAAAACGCAGCUUUUAUUAUUAUUAUUAUUAUUUUGUUUGUUUGAGAACGAGCUAAAAUCCUUGAUCCUCUUCUUUCUUGUAUUCAUCAGGGCUUCUCAAAGCACUUGUGUGCUCCCUGUCGCCAAGUCAUCGCAGGCCUGGAGUCUGAAUUGGCCAGAAGCAGAGCGACCGGAUGCUGACGAGAGGAGUAGACCGAAAUGACAUGCUGAGCAUACAGCGGCUGAGGCAGGCGGGAGGAGCAGCAGGGCACCAGGAGCAAGGAUGAGGACUCCGAGCUGCGGAGAGGAAAGAAGAGAGCACCCGAAGGCAUCGACCUUGCUCUGAAGAGGAAGGUGUAUGCUAAUGAUUAACUUCAAGCAAGGCCAACAAUGGGAAGAAAUCUGUCCUUGGAGUGAGAAGGAAAGGGGAGUGCAAGAGCAAUCCGCGCCUGAGAGACUGAGCCAAGUCACUGAGAGGCCAGGGCAGAGGGAGGAGAGAGAAGAAGAGAAGCCAGCCAAAGACAGAAACCAGCAGAGUGAGUUUCCCUUGUGUUUGCAUAAGUUAGCACCUGUAUCACUUGCAGCAGGAGAAGAGUGUGCAUGGUGGGGUGCGGAGGCCUUUCCCUGGGAAAUACAAGGGUCGCUGUUUUGCAUAUGAACGAGGCCUGAUGAUAGAAAAUGCCUCCAGUUUUAUGCUAAUGCUGAAGAACUUGUGCUGCUGAUGCACUGAAAGUAGCCUUGCCCUUGGCAGAAGGACCUACUGUUAUUUCUUAGAUUUCCCUGCAGGAUGUCCGCCCAUCUCCAUUAGAAUACCACUUCCACUUGAAGUUCAUUGUUUGCUUCAAAUGCCCCUGAGGAAAGACUGAUACCUGUAGGUAGAUGAAGCGCAAUCGCUUUGCCACCUAGCUGUAGUGGUUGGUUGCAGUGUGUUAGUGUGGAGCUAUUGUACAAGUUUCUUGCCACAAUUUGCAACAAUAUGCUAAUAAAUUGUAAAACUACCGG
Long non-coding RNA from Cygnus atratus (black swan), 1109 nucleotides. RefSeq lists it as uncharacterized. NCBI's taxonomy places the organism in Eukaryota, Metazoa, Chordata, Aves, Anseriformes, Anatidae. The record is from RefSeq and is a predicted model, not a curated record. The transcript is spliced from 3 exons.